CCCUACGGGGUGCAGCAGGCUAUCAUAACUUUAUCAUCGUUGGUCCAUCCAUCCAUGAUAGAACCUCCCUGCAUGGCUGCAUAUACAUACUUGCUGAUGCAAUCCCAGGCCUCGGAGCAAAAUUCCCCGUGCAGCAUCCUCAUAUAUCCUUCUUUAUCUACGAUGAACUCCUGGCCAUCUUUAAAUCUUCCGCACUUCCCUAUAUUUGGAUUUGCAAGAUACUCGUCUGCCAGGUCCUGAUAAUAUUCUCUUCUCAAAACUGUGAUCUUACAUUUAUUUCGCCAUUUGCCGGCCAUAUGAGUUUCUCCUUUGUCUUAAAUUUUAUGUUCAAUUUCAACGACACAUUCGGUCUUUAUUGUAUGAACCAGGAAUUGGCGGGAGAGC
This 384-nucleotide ribosomal RNA is filed under the name uncultured prokaryote. RNAcentral's name for it is "partial 16S ribosomal RNA". The record is from RNAcentral.